This 217-nucleotide long non-coding RNA is filed under the name Lathyrus oleraceus (garden pea). Its description in RNAcentral is "Pisum sativum (pea) long non-coding RNA (PSAT_LNC027107)". The record is from RNAcentral. Lineage: Eukaryota; Viridiplantae; Streptophyta; Magnoliopsida; Fabales; Fabaceae.
AUAACUUUUCAAAAAAAGAAAGAAGAAAAAGCCCGCUAAGUCAAACACCGCAAAAAAAAUGACUUAGGCAAAAAUCAGGGCAUUUCGGUGGACCAAAGGCUUCAAAGAAGCGGUCCAGACAAAAUUAGGGAUAAAGAAAAACAAAAAUAGAGGCCCUCAACAAAACAAAGCAAAAUAAGGUGACUACCAUUUUUAAAAAAUUAGUCUUGAAUCCUCA